This 89-nucleotide transfer RNA is filed under the name Aspergillus heteromorphus CBS 117.55. It matches the Rfam family "tRNA". From Rfam's summary of the family: Transfer RNA (tRNA) molecules are approximately 80 nucleotides in length. Their secondary structure includes four short double-helical elements and three loops (D, anti-codon, and T loops). Lineage: Eukaryota; Fungi; Ascomycota; Eurotiomycetes; Eurotiales; Aspergillaceae. The record is from Rfam by way of RNAcentral.
UCCUUGAUGGUCUAACGGUCAUGAUUUCCGCUUGUCACUCCCCUUGGGAACAAGCGCGGGAGACCUGGGUUCGACUCCCAGUCAGGGAG